This 498-nucleotide ribosomal RNA is filed under the name uncultured bacterium. RNAcentral describes it as "partial 16S ribosomal RNA". It matches the Rfam family "Bacterial small subunit ribosomal RNA", at positions 30 to 523 of the family's 1533-position model. The record is from RNAcentral.
AUUGAACGCUGGCGGCAUGCCUUACACAUGCAAGUCGAACGGUAACAGGUCCUCGGAUGCUGACGAGUGGCGAACGGGUGAGUAAUACAUCGGAACGUGCCCAGACGUGGGGGAUAACGAGGCGAAAGCCUUGCUAAUACCGCAUACGAUCUAAGGAUGAAAGCAGGGGACCGCAAGGCCUUGCGCGUUAGGAGCGGCCGAUGGCAGAUUAGGUAGUUGGUGGGAUAAAAGCUUACCAAGCCGACGAUCUGUAGCUGGUCUGAGAGGACGACCAGCCACACUGGGACUGAGACACGGCCCAGACUCCUACGGGAGGCAGCAGUGGGGAAUUUUGGACAAUGGGCGAAAGCCUGAUCCAGCAAUGCCGCGUGCAGGAUGAAGGCCUUCGGGUUGUAAACUGCUUUUGUACGGAACGAAAAGGCUCUGGCUAAUACCUGGGGCACAUGACGGUACCGUAAGAAUAAGCACCGGCUAACUACGUGCCAGCAGCCGCGGUAA